AAAGUCGUAACAAGUGAACCUGCGGAAGGAUCAUUAACACGUAUCCAACGUUAAACCCCUGUGAACCUUCAUUGUCCCAUUCCGUUAGCGGCAAUCCCUGGUAAAUCAUCGGGACCGGCAGCAGCGCGAGGCAAGUGGCUGGCAUGCGAAAGAAUGCCGCAGUAACGAUCGCUCGAGGCCGACACGGCCGGCGACCGGGUCACUGCCCUACACCUUUGCAUGAAAAUGGGCCUGCGCUUAAUUGUGCGGCCCGACCAACUGUUCGCAAUGGAUAUCUUGGUUCUC
Molecule: unclassified non-coding RNA, 285 nt
Filed under: fungal sp.
Lineage: Eukaryota; Fungi
Description: partial internal transcribed spacer region
Source: RNAcentral